GACGAACGCUGGCGGCGUGCCUAAUACAUGCAAGUAGAACGCACAGUUUAUACCGUAGCUUGCUACACCAUAGACUGUGAGUUGCGAACGGGUGAGUAACGCGUAGGUAACCUGCCUGGUAGCGGGGGAUAACUAUUGGAAACGAUAGCUAAUACCGCAUAAUAUUAAUUAUUGCAUGAUAAUUAAUUGAAGGGUGCAAUUGCACCACUACCAGAUGGACCUGCGUUGUAUUAGCUAGUAGGUGAGGUAACGGCUCACCUAGGCGACGAUACAUAGCCGACCUGAGAGGGUGAUCGGCCACACUGGGACUGAGACACGGCCCAGACUCCUACGGGAGGCAGCAGUAGGGAAUCUUCGGCAAUGGACGAAAGUCUGACCGAGCAACGCCGCGUGAGUGAAGAAGGGUUUCGGAUCGUAAAGCUCUGUUGUAAGAGAAGAACGGGUGUGAGAGUGGAAAGUUCACACUGUGACGGUAUCUUACCAGAAAGGGACGGCUAACUACGUG
RNAcentral lists this ribosomal RNA (505 nucleotides) under uncultured bacterium. RNAcentral describes it as "partial 16S ribosomal RNA". It matches the Rfam family "Bacterial small subunit ribosomal RNA", at positions 28 to 507 of the family's 1533-position model. The record is from RNAcentral.